UUCAUGAAAGUUCUUACACUUUAGACACUUCUGAGAGAGAGGACACUUUUCCAACUCUUUGAGUGAAAGUAUGACCAAUUUGCCCCUGAAUAAUAAGGAAGGAAGAAAACCAACGUUUGAGUUUAGUUUGUUGUCAGUUACAAAAGAACAAACACGUGGCAUAUGAUGAGUAGUUAAGAUCUGAUAAGAUGAAAUACACAUUUUUUUUUUCCAUUUUUUUUUCCUUCUUCGCAGGCCUCUUCUUUUUCUCUCUCUAAUUAUCUUUCUCUCUUCAUCUUUACUUUCUUUCUCUCUUUCCUUGCAAAAUCAAACAUGAAAGAGUUUGGAUUUUGUGAGUGUUGAGUGUGUGUGGUAAUAUAGUGUGUGUGAAGAUCUUGUUGAGUAUGUGUGGUGAGGGCAACAAUGGAGUUUGUGUACACAACAUCAACCAAUUAAGAAAAAGGAUCAAAGCAUUGUCCAAGAGAUGUAAUUACGAAAAUUCAAAAUCAAAAUCUGUUGCAAGAAGACGACGAGAGAGGCGGUGAUGACGUUGCACGUUUCUCUCGAAGCAGCUCCAUUAAUCGAAAACCAGUUGUGAUUGAUUCCAUUUUCGUCAUGAAUGAAGCUUUAUUGUUUAUUUUUUGGUCACUGUUACAGUUUUGAUGUGAAUUGCUCAAAUUUGUUUCUUUAGUUAUUUUUUGUUAACUUUGUUUUUUCUUUGUUCAUUAGCUAGAAUAACAUGGAAGUAAUCAAUUCUUUCGAUUAAUUCUAGCUUUUUGAACACGAGAUUCUAAUAAGCAAA
Molecule: long non-coding RNA, 781 nt
Organism: Arabidopsis lyrata subsp. lyrata
Lineage: Eukaryota; Viridiplantae; Streptophyta; Magnoliopsida; Brassicales; Brassicaceae
Exons: 2
Source: RefSeq, a predicted model, not a curated record